This 254-nucleotide ribosomal RNA is filed under the name uncultured bacterium. RNAcentral's name for it is "partial 16S ribosomal RNA". It matches the Rfam family "Bacterial small subunit ribosomal RNA", at positions 524 to 776 of the family's 1533-position model. The record is from RNAcentral.
UACGUAGGGUGCGAGCGUUGUCCGGAAUUAUUGGGCGUAAAGAGCUCGUAGGCGGUGUGUCACGUCGGCCGUGAAAACCUGCAGCUUAACUGUGGGCGUGCGGUCGAUACGGGCAUCACUGGAGUUCGGCAGGGGAGACUGGAAUUCCUGGUGUAGCGGUGAAAUGCGCAGAUAUCAGGAGGAACACCGGUGGCGAAGGCGGGUCUCUAGGCCGAUACUGACGCUGAGGAGCGAAAGCGUGGGGAGCAAUCCGG